GUGCCUGGACUUGGAGAACCAGGAGGUGAGGGGACUGACUACUUGAAGAUCACAUGGAGGAGGAGUCUGAUCCAGGCCCAGACCUUUUCUGUUUUGGAUCAUAAAAUGUCAAAGGCACACUAUCAUGAACCACAGUUUCUCUAAAUUUAGCUUUACUUAUUAGUAUGCAGUCAUAUCUAAGUUAAUAAGAUGUCAUGCUUAAAAUAAUAAAAUCCAUUUCUUUGGAAAUAUACUGUAUAUAGAUGGGACUACCAGCUAUGAAGGAGUGAAGCGGUUAACAAAUCCUCUCCCUGCAAAGCAAUUAUAAAGCUGGACAAAAUUGUCGAAAACAAUUAUUUCAGGGCUCUGGAAAUUGACAAGGGGCAAGCAAAUUGAGAAAUUUAUGUUCUCAAGAAACUAUGGAGAUUCAAGUAAACACAGUGGAAAUACAUGGCAUUCUUGCUGAAACUGCCUCCACCAGUCAACAUGGUUGUUUGACCUGGACAGCACAGGCCUUCACUUGAUUUGAAGUGAAAAGUAGAAACCCACAGUCAGCAGCAAGUGGGAAAAGCUUGCAGAUUUCCUAGACUGAAGUUGCAAUCCUGGUUGGGAUGAGCAGUAUUGAACUAACCAGAAAUUUAACAGGAAGGUCGUGGAAAUGAACUAGCAUUGAGAGCUUGACAAGCAUUCCAUAUCCCUGUCUGUCUGGGAACCUGUAUGCAUGCACAGCCCAAGAGGGCCCAGUGUUAACAUAACACCUAGGGCAGACCCAAAUUUGAAUACAUUUCCCAUUUCAAUC
RNAcentral lists this long non-coding RNA (778 nucleotides) under Homo sapiens (human). Its description in RNAcentral is "non-protein coding lnc-INO80C-1:5". Lineage: Eukaryota; Metazoa; Chordata; Mammalia; Primates; Hominidae. The record is from RNAcentral.